This 377-nucleotide ribosomal RNA is filed under the name uncultured eukaryote. RNAcentral's name for it is "partial 18S ribosomal RNA". It matches the Rfam family "Eukaryotic small subunit ribosomal RNA", at positions 592 to 976 of the family's 1831-position model. The record is from RNAcentral.
CAAUAGCGUAUAUUUAAGUUGCUGCAGUUAAAAAGCUCGUAGUUGGAUUUCGGGUGGGAAUGGCCGGUCCGCCGUUUCGGUGUGCACUUGCUACGCCCACCUUGCUGCCGGGGACGUGCUCUUGAGUUCACGCUCGGGACACGGAGUCGGCGAGGUUACUUUGAGUAAAUUAGAGUGUUCAAAGCAGGCCUACGCUCUGAAUACAUUAGCAUGGAAUAACACGAUAGGACUCUGGCCUAUCUUGUUGGUCUGUAGGACCGGAGUAAUGAUUAAGAGGGACAGUCGGGGGCAUUCGUAUUUCAUUGUCAGAGGUGAAAUUCUUGGAUUUACGGAAGACGAACAACUGCGAAAGCAUUUGCCAAGGAUGUUUUCAUUAA